GCACGGCCCCGGGACGGCCCCGGGACGGGCUCCGGCCGCCCCAAACGCCGGGCUGCCCGGGCUGCGAGCAGCCCCGAGCUGUCCUGGGCUGCGGAGGGAGGGAGGGAGGGAGGGAAGGAGGGACGGGACGGAGAAAGGGAGGGAGGGGGGGGGGGGGGUUGCUGCUGCUUUGGUCUGCAUCUGGUUUUUGGUUUGGGGAUUUGUUUUGUUGUUGUUUUUCCUCUUCUUCCCCCGUCGGCCGCCGGUUUAGUAUGGAAGUCGGAGAAGAUGGAAAAAAGGGAGCAGGAGUGGAAAAAAAGUUGCACGGCUCGAGACCGUAGUGCACAAAUCGCUGCUCGUCUCGGUCGAAAAAUCCUCGCACCCCCUUCCCCCAUCCUCAAAGGUUUCUCUCUGAAAUUACUCCAAAUCCACCUCGCCUAAUGCAAGAUAAAGCUCCCCCCGCUCCCCGAAGCCCUGCACGCACCAUUACUCGGGACACGAGAAAAGCAAAAGUUUCAUUGAAUAGCGCGAAAUCUUCCUUACCGUUCUCAUCUUCAAUUUCUGAUAUAAAAUAAAAUUGUUCAUAAAAUCUCAACAAUCUGUGAGAAUUACAGAGGACAAAGUUGAGACAAAUUGUACAAUGUGUGGACAAUGUCUAUGGAAAAUCUCUAUGGAAAAAUCAGAUGUCUGAGGGCAAAGGAGGAGGGAAAAGCAACUUGUUCCUGUGUUUGUACUUACAUGGUGAGCCAAGAUCAAAAGCAGCCUCAUCCUCCAUCUGGUCAUCUCUGGAAACUCUGAGUUGAAUUCAAGCUGAUUAUAGCAGCAACCUUCUGCACUUCUGAAAGAGUAAUUUCCCCAACGCUUAUUUUCCCCCCUCUUUUUUUUUUUUUUUUUUUUAAAGAAAAAACAAAAACCAACAAAUGAGCAAAAACCAAACAAGCAAAAUACAUAAAUAAAUAAAAA
Molecule: non-coding RNA, 942 nt
Organism: Anas platyrhynchos (mallard)
Lineage: Eukaryota; Metazoa; Chordata; Aves; Anseriformes; Anatidae
Source: RefSeq, a predicted model, not a curated record